CACUGGCACAUGUCUUCAUCUCAAGUGCCUGAUAAAACAAUUCUUCUGGUGCAAGCACACGCACUUCUGUACUGACAACGGAGGUGGAGAGGAAACUGUACCUGAUCACUUCCUAAGGGAGGUCCUGUGCAUUUAAAUAUCUGUAUGAUGAAAUCUCUAUUAAAGUAAAAUGGGUGAUUGCCUGAAAAGCACAUAAGAAACAGGACAUUCUGCGCCAUACUGAAAGACUGUUUACCAGCUGUUCCCUGUCAGAGAAAAAGGACAUUUCCAGACAUGGCUUUUUGAGAAAAUUGACAAUUUUUGAGGCAUGUGCAGUCAGUCCUGAUUUGUUUGUGCUGUACAUUGAACAUGCCUGCAUUUGUGCCUGGCCCUCCUCCAUCCAGACUGCCAGAGACCACAGCAUCAUGCAGAGAAACUGCUUGUUUCAGAAAAGGACUGAUUUUUUUUUUUUAAAUUCAUCUGUGAUGCAUACUUUUAACUAUAUCUGUAUUUUAACAGAAUGGAGAAAUCUUUUAGGAGCUAUGUCAUGGACUGCCAUAGCAUAAGUGAAGGACAUACACAUUAAAGUCAGUCAUCCUUGCACUUGUUUUUCUUUAUGCCUAGUGAGGGAUGCUGACAGAAACAAAAAUUAUUUCUUCCAAAGGGUCAGUUGGGUGUCAAAUAAAAGACAGCCCCAUUCUAUAAAGCACAAAGGGAUACCAUUUCAAUAUUUAGAAAGCAAAGAUGUAAGAGAAUCGUAUUCUAUGCAUCACAUCAUGCAUGUAUGUUCCCAAAAAAGGUGUUUUUCUAUCCAGCUCCUGUCAUGCCCUGUCUGGAUUUUAGCUUCACUUAUUGCUUUGAGAUAUGCAGUUUGAAGGCAAAAGCAUACCCGAAAUGCUCUUCCAGUGGUGAUUCCAGAGGAGGAGAUUUCUCAGACACCUAUCUUGCUUUAUGACAUGCUCAGCUGGCAGCGGCUUGGCUUGUCAGAGUGGGAGCAGCUUGAUGUGACAGCCUGCUGGCUGCCAGAGGAGGCUCUUCCCUUCCAGGGACUGGCUGUGGAAUGUUUAGCUGAGCAUCAGUCACUCUGGGAAGGAACCUACAUAGCGGCACUAAGCAGAGCAGGAGCCUUCAAAACCAUACUUCCACAAAAAAAAAAAAAAAAAAAGAAAAAAAAAAGAAAAAAAAAAGGCCAGAGAGGGCCGUCUCCAGUGCGUAGCAUUUUUUUCCCGAAUCUUUCCUUUCUAAGGAUAAUGAUGUUUAUUUGUGAAGAUCUCUCUACUGUUGCCCAGAAAUAGCCCACAUAUGUGGAACUCCAGGACUUGCUAUGAGAAAACAACCCACUUUUGGAGAGGCUUAUAAGGAAAAUUGAGGGCAUGCGUUUCUUCUCAGUUGAAAAGUCAUCACUCUGCAUUCCUGCUUCUGCAGAAAUUGGUUGAAAAAAAAUCAUAAGUUUUGUACAGUGCUCUGGGAUUAUGAAGUUAUUAAUCUGUUUGCUGGCAGGGUUCUCAAGGUCUGGUGUAUACAUUAUAAAAAAUAAAAUCCA
Long non-coding RNA from Passer domesticus (house sparrow), 1522 nucleotides. RefSeq lists it as uncharacterized. Lineage: Eukaryota; Metazoa; Chordata; Aves; Passeriformes; Passeridae. The record is from RefSeq and is a predicted model, not a curated record. The transcript has 4 exons.